CCUGUCAGAGUCGGUCUCUAAUACUCUAAGGUCCAGGAAAUGCUCUACGUCAGCCUCAUAUUAUAAAAUAUGUGGAAAGUUCUGUUCCUGGAUGGUGGAUAAGGGAAUCCCUUGAGAUGCACCAAGCGUUGCGGACGUCCUAAACUUCCUUCAAGAGGGUCUGGAUAAAGGGCUUAGUCUGAGCACUCGUCCACGUUUCGGCAAUUUCAGCCUUGACAAAUUCCAGAUGGGCUCUGGAUCCUCUCGUAAUUAGGUUUUUUAGAGCAGUUUUGAGGAUUAGAC
Molecule: non-coding RNA, 282 nt
Organism: Pelobates cultripes (western spadefoot toad)
Lineage: Eukaryota; Metazoa; Chordata; Amphibia; Anura; Pelobatidae
Source: the annotation of a GenBank genome assembly